RNAcentral lists this ribosomal RNA (342 nucleotides) under uncultured bacterium. Its description in RNAcentral is "partial 16S ribosomal RNA". It matches the Rfam family "Bacterial small subunit ribosomal RNA", at positions 338 to 691 of the family's 1533-position model. The record is from RNAcentral.
CCUACGGGUGGCAGCAGUCGAGAAUCAUUCACAAUGGGGGAAACCCUGAUGGUGCGACGCCGCGUGGGGGAAUGAAGGUCUUCGGAUUGUAAACCCCUGUCAUGUGGGAGCAAAUUAAAAAGAUAGUACCACAAGAGGAAGAGACGGCUAACUCUGUGCCAGCAGCCGCGGUCAUACAGAGGUCUCAAGCGUUGUUCGGAAUCACUGGGCGUGAAGCGUUCGUAGGAUGUUUCGUAAGUCGUGUGUGAAAGGCGCGGGCUCAACCCGUGGAAGGCACAUGAUACUGCGAAACUAGAGUAAUAGUGGAGGUAGGGGGAUUCUGGGGGGUGGAGUGGAAUGGGU